RNAcentral lists this ribosomal RNA (915 nucleotides) under uncultured bacterium. RNAcentral's name for it is "bacterial SSU rRNA". It matches the Rfam family "Bacterial small subunit ribosomal RNA", at positions 8 to 917 of the family's 1533-position model. The record is from RNAcentral.
AGAGUUUGAUCCUGGCUCAGGAUGAACGCUAGCGGCAGGCUUAAUACAUGCAAGUCGAGGGGUAGCAUGAUUGUAGCAAUACAAUUGAUGACGACCGGCAAACGGGUGCGGAACACGUACACAACCUUCCUACAAGUGGGGAAUAGCCCAGAGAAAUUUGGAUUAAUACCCCGUAACAUAGCGAUGUGGCAUCACAUUGCUAUUAUAGCUUCGGCGCUUGUUGAUGGGUGUGCGGCUGAUUAGAUAGUUGGCGGGGUAACGGCCCACCAAGUCUACGAUCAGUAGCUGAUGUGAGAGCAUGAUCAGCCACACGGGCACUGAGACACGGGCCCGACUCCUACGGGAGGCAGCAGUAAGGAAUAUUGGACAAUGGACGCAAGUCUGAUCCAGCCAUGCCGCGUGAAGGAUUAAGGUCCUCUGGAUUGUAAACUUCUUUUAUAAGGGACGAAAAAAGGUCUUUCUAGAUCGUCUGACGGUACCUUAUGAAUAAGCACCGGCUAACUCCGUGCCAGCAGCCGCGGUAAUACGGAGGGUGCAAGCGUUAUCCGGAUUCACUGGGUUUAAAGGGUGCGUAGGCGGGCAGGUAAGUCAGUGGUGAAAUCCUAGAGCUUAACUCUAGAACUGCCAUUGAUACUAUCUGUCUUGAAUAUUGUGGAGGUAAGCGGAAUAUGUCAUGUAGCGGUGAAAUGCUUAGAUAUGACAUAGAACACCUAUUGCGAAGGCAGCUUACUACGCAUAUAUUGACGCUGAGGCACGAAAGCGUGGGGAUCAAACAGGAUUAGAUACCCUGGUAGUCCACGCCCUAAACGAUGGAUACUCGACAUACGCGAUACACUGUGUGUGUCUGAGCGAAAGCAUUAAGUAUCCCACCUGGGAAGUACGACCGCAAGGUUGAAACUCAAAGGAAUUGACGGG